RNAcentral lists this unclassified non-coding RNA (1406 nucleotides) under Hevea brasiliensis (rubber tree). The record is from RNAcentral. Lineage: Eukaryota; Viridiplantae; Streptophyta; Magnoliopsida; Malpighiales; Euphorbiaceae.
AGUAUGCUGGGAAUAAAAGAUUUCAUAGGAAAUCUGAGAACUUUACAAUCAAAUCCUCUUAACAUAUCACACUACCAGACAAGAGUACAUAAACAAAACCCAAGUUGCACAAAGCAAGAUAAAGCACCCCACUAAUUAAACCAACAUUAACAAAUUAUUACAACGUCAUUAUCUUAGUACUAAACAAUCUUUUCUUCCCAUUCCCAUUAAUUAGUGUUGUAUUAAUACUGGUCUCAUCAAACAGUUGCUAUUGGGCCCAAGUUGACAGCAGUUUCCACAGCCUUCAUUGCUUCAAACCUUGGCUCUUUAGCUUGGAAUUUGAGACCUGCAUAUAAUUUCAUAUAAUCCUCAAAAACAAAUUUGGGAUACAUUAUUGUGUUCUCUUUUUCUUCCUUCUCCAGCAAUUCUGGUGCUGGAUAGAUGACAGCAUCACUCCCCGGAUUGUAGAACGAAGCCAAGGACAUUCUGUUUCCAUCAGGCUGAGCAAUCACCCUGUGCUCCACACUCUUGUAUUUUCCAUUAGUAAUCACCUCGAGUUGGUCACCGAGGUUGAUGACAAUGGAGUGGCGCAUCGGUGGAACAUCAAUCCAUUUGUCAUCUUUGAGUAGUUGGAGACCACUGACUUUGUCAUCUUGGAAUAGAAGGAUGAUGCCACCAGCAUCUGUGUGAGCCCUCAGCCCUUUAAUGAGAUCAGGCUUAGGACAUGGUGGGUAGUUGCUAACUUUGGUGCCAAAAGUAGGACCCUUUGAGCCAUAAAACACUUUCUUCAAGUAACCUUGCUCUAGUCCUAGAUUUUCACACAGCAAAUCCAACAGUUGCUCUGCUAGUUUCUCCAGUUUAUCAGCAAACUCCUUCAUGAUUUUCCUAUAAUCAUCUUCAAGAUCAGGAACUUCUGAAAUGUUUGAAACAGGAAGAUGUUUCAAGAAGAAAGUACUUUCCCAGUCCAAAUCAUCAAUUUCAGUCUGAACACCUUCAAGGCCUUUACUUGCCACCAUUUCCUUGAACCUUUGUUCCAUACACUUCUUGUAAUGUUCCUUUGUGAACUUCUCUACUGUGUCCAGAAGCUCAUGAGAGAUCCCAUGAUUAAUCACCUCAAAGAAUCCCCAGUUCUCACAAGCAUCUUUUAUUUUCUCCAAUGCUGCAGCCCUUUUUUCAGUGUUAAGCAUCUCCAUGUUAACUACUGGGAAAGUCUCCAUCUUUUUCUAUUAUACUAUUUCUCCCUCACACUUCAAAGCUCUUAAUUAAUUUCUGUGCAAGAUGGAUAUGAAUGGGUAUUUGAAGGGGGUAUUUAUAAGACUUUUGUUAAGGUCAUUCAGAAAAAGAAAAAAAAAUAUUUUAUUUUUCAUAAAAAUAUAGAAACACAAGUAAAUAAACAAUGAAAUCUAGGAAGUAAGUAGAGUAGUGGG